This 3338-nucleotide long non-coding RNA is filed under the name Canis lupus familiaris (dog). RNAcentral's name for it is "lncRNA (ENSCAFG00030006017.1)". The record is from RNAcentral. Lineage: Eukaryota; Metazoa; Chordata; Mammalia; Carnivora; Canidae.
AUGCUUCUAUCAGCAUCCCUCUGGGAGCUUAUCUUCAACCCGCCUGAAAUUAUCCGCAGGAUCCACGGUGGCCUGCGCUCACCGAGGGCUCCGGGACAGGCACAGGGCCGGGGCCUCCUGGGUCUCGCCCAUCCUCUGUCCUGGGCUGUUGUGAACUCCUCAAAUCUGAAAGUCCGAGAUUUCCUCUCCGUGUCACGGAUGAGACCACGGAAGCACAGAGAGGUGAAGCGAGGUGCCCACGGUCACACAGCUGGUCCAUGGGGAGCAGGACGUCAGCCCAGGGCGAGCGGCUCCGCCACCUGUGCCGUUAACUCUGCGACGGUGACCAAGUGCUCGGCCUCAUGAUGCUGCCCAUCCUCUGGAGCACUGAAGAUCAAACACGAGCAAGGAAAACAGGAACUAACAUUUAUUAGACACCAGCUGUAUACCAACCAUGCUGUACAGGGCAACCGGACCUUGGAAAUGAAACCGACCAAGUCUGGCCUUCUAGAUUCAGGGUAAGGAACUCCAUGGGGCAGCGGCGGGGGUGUCAGUGCUGGAAACAUGGAGGCACCAGGGCUGGCGGGCCCCAGAGGAGGCUCCCGGCCCCCAUGGAGGGAUGCAGAAGGCUGCCCAGGGACCGAGUGAUGGGUGAAGAAAUGACAAAGAGCAGGUGUUGCAGACCAAGGGACAUGUGCAAAGGUCCUGGGCAAGAGAGGGCGUAACUCCCAUUCUGUUGCUGUCAUUCUUUUUUAUUUUUUAAAGAUUUUAUUUAUUGAUUCAUGAGAGACACAGAGAGAGGCAGAGACACAGGCAGGUCGGCCAGGUGCCCCACAAGGUGAUAUUUUUAUCAGGGAACUCACAAGGCCUCUGCGGGCAGCUCUGUGAGACGCUGUGCCCGCCACGCGUCCUGGCAGUGCCAGCAGGGACUGUGGGGACGGUGCUCAGCCAGGGGGGCCUGCUUACUGGCUCAGCCAAGUUGACACUGAAACGGACACAUUUAUGUAUGACCAACGUCCCACACGUCGUGCCUGCACAUUUUAUAUAUCAUCCCAAUGAUGCGUUUCAUUCUGUGUGGGGUGAGAGGGUUGAUUUUUCCGGCCCAGCAGUCUGCCUGGUGUGUAUGGGGGCUUGGUUCGGGGUCACAGCUAAACCAGACCCUGUCCCUGCCCUCAGGAUGUGCCCAUUAUGGGGCUCAGGGGGGCGCCUGGAAAGGGGGCCCUGCUCACCCUCCAGUGAUGACAGGGAGCCGACUGGUCCUGACACACAGAACACAGAGGGGAGGAAGCCAGCGUUGACCCCGCCUUUCCUGUAGGGAGGCACCGCCUGGCGACCAAGGAGUAGGUGAGGGGCAGCCUUUCUCUAUAAAAUGACUCCAGACGCUAAAUAAAGACGUCAGGAUAGCCCAGACUGGCUGGACUCUGCAGCCCCCAGGAAAUUAAUGCAGGCACCACGUCCUGGUGCAAGAGCACGACGACCAGCCUGAGCAAGAGGCCUUGAGGAACCCAGGGCCCCAGUGGACCCCAGGCUCUGACCGAGCUAACGGAGCUGUGGGGGCUGUGCCACCUCGAGCCCCCCUCCCACAACUGCUCCCAGGGCCUUCUGGAAGCCAAAUUGAGCCCCGACCCUCCCCAGGACUCCGCGGUGCCCCCCUGCCCCCCCCCGCACCCCUCCCCACAGGCUUGAUCGUGGAGUCCGGAAGCACCGCUCCCCAGCACCGCUCCCCAGCCUCCAGGCUCGAGGGUGCCCCAGGGUUAGUCUCCCUCCUCCCCAAGUAAGUGGUUUCUGGUUUCCCAAGUGAACCCUGACGGACACACCUCGCGCAGGCAUUCGUUAUAAUUAACAUGAUGUUACAAAAACCCUGAUUGUAAGGAUUUAAUUAGCCCCAGAUGUGGGCCUUCGGACCGCGGCCACCUCAUCAGGCCACUGCUCCCAAGAGGAGCCUGACGUUCUGAGUAGGGGUGGCAAGUGCCAGGUCCGAGAUCGGCCCCCAGUCGCGCCUGGCUGUCCACCCACCUGGGCUCUUGGUGCUCCCGCGACCUCGUGGCCACACCAUCCCCACACUUACCCCUCUGGCCCCGAUCGCACUCUGCGCAUCCCUCCUCUAGGCCUUCCCUGAAAGAGCCCUCGAAGACCCAUUCUGCCUGCCUGUCGCCUCCUCUGGGAAGCCCUGCUGCCGCCCCCCGGCCCCCCGCAUGGACUAAUCCCUCCCCCAGCUCUGAUCCCACUCUGUGUGACCACCACUCACGUAGGCGGCCACCUCCCCCACCAGCCUGUGAUGUCCUCCAGGCCUGACUCAUGUCCUUGUCCCCAGGGCCCAGCCCAGGGCGUGCACCGCCGGACCCCCAGCCUCAGAUGUCAAUCACGAAACCCCUCGGAUGGCAGAUGGCAAGGUCAAGGCCAGAGAGGGGAAGCAACAUGCCCCAGGGCAGAACCAGGAGCGCCCCCGGGUGGCCUGCCUUCUGGCUCUUGCCUUCCACCCUACAGCUCCUGGGAGGCAGCAAAGGAGGUGAGAGCAGGGAGGCCCCCCCGGAGGAGGCACUCGGCUCUCCCGAAGGCCGCCCCUAUCUCCCCAGGAAGAAAAAUGAAGACUUAAAUGAUCAUCUCUGAAAAGGCAAAGUCACAAAUAAAAAACAGCUUCGAGCCUGACGAUUGCCAUCUGUCGCAAAUGCCACCACAAAGACAAGACAAUCCAAGAGCGGUGCCUAUCCCUCGCGGGAGCUCGUUCCUAACCGGAGUGUGAGCCCUGGAAUCCAGGGAAGACCCAGGCUGCGGGCUUUGAAGACCACGGGGACCCUCGGCUCUGCCGGUCCCAAGCCGGGAAUCUAGGGCCGGGGCUUCCGAGGGGACCGAGGGGCCAAGCAGCCACAGGCCAUGCUCCCGGGCCGACCCCUGGGCCAGGGGAGACACACAGUAUUGGGCAAAGCAGGAACCCGGUCCCUGAGCGCACAGAGGACCCAGGCCUGACUUUAAAACACAAGGAUAGAGAACCACGUUCAACGCCACGAUGAUGCUGUGUAAGUCACCCCAAGACGCGGGGCUCACAGGUCAGCCCUCAGGCCGGGCUCUGCCGAUCUGACCUCAACCCUCCUUCUUUAUCCUUCCCCUUAGAAUGACAGCAACAGGUGCACCUGGGGGCUCAGGGGUUGAGUGUCUGCCUUCGGCCCAGGGCAUGACCCCAGGGGUCCGGGAUCGAGCCCUGCAUCGGGCUCCCCGCAGGAGCCUGCUUCUCCCCCUGCCUGUGCCUCUGCCUCUCUCGCUGUCUCUCAUGAAUAAAUAAAUAAAAUCUUAAAAAAAAAAUAUGUCAAUGUAUGGUCACUUUGUGCCCAGGUGCUGGCAUUGUGGGCCUGGGGGGAUGG